AGAGUUUGAUCAUGGCUCAGGACGAACGCUGGCGGCGCGCUUAACACAUGCAAGUCGAGCGAGAACCAGGGCUUCGGCCCUGGGGACAGCGGCGAACGGGUGAGUAACACGUGGGUAAUCAACCCUCGACACUGGGAUAGCCCGGGGAAACCCGGAUUAAUACCGGAUGUCCCAUCUGGCCUUCGGGCCGGCUGGAAAAGGUAGCUUCGGCCUCCGGUCGGGGACGAGCCCGCGGCGGAUUAGCUUGUUGGUGGGGUAACGGCCCACCAAGGCGACGAUCCGUAGCUGGUCUGAGAGGACGAUCAGCCACACUGGGACUGAGACACGGCCCAGACUCCUACGGGAGGCAGCAGUGGGGAAUCUUGCGCAAUGGGCGAAAGCCUGACGCAGCGACGCCGCGUGAGGGAAGACGGCCUUCGGGUUGUAAACCUCUUUCAGGAGGGACGAAGCCACUCGGGUUAAUAGCCCAGAGGGUGACGGUACCUCCAGAAGAAGCCCCGGCUAACUACGUGCCAGCCGCCGCGGUAAUUC
RNAcentral lists this ribosomal RNA (531 nucleotides) under uncultured bacterium. Its description in RNAcentral is "bacterial SSU rRNA". It matches the Rfam family "Bacterial small subunit ribosomal RNA", at positions 8 to 526 of the family's 1533-position model. The record is from RNAcentral.